This is a long non-coding RNA of Mesocricetus auratus (golden hamster), 1136 nucleotides long. RefSeq lists it as uncharacterized. The transcript is spliced from 7 exons. NCBI's taxonomy places the organism in Eukaryota, Metazoa, Chordata, Mammalia, Rodentia, Cricetidae. The record is from RefSeq and is a predicted model, not a curated record.
AAAAGAGACCUUCAACAAGACCAGGCCUGCUGACUGUUCCCCAUAGAAGAACUAGGGGCACACAUCUCUCUCAGUUGAGUGUAAUUAUGCCUGAGCUCUGGAGGUUUGUAGAGGGUGGAGAGUCGAUGAAGUGGGGUCCCCAUCUAUGCAUCCGUGAGGCUGUCGCUCAUGUUGGAGUUAGAUGCGACGUGACUGUUUAGGGGUCACUCCUGCUCCUUGAGAAGAGCAGCAAAUACGGCAGCUCCAGGGCAGGGCAGAGAGCAAGGAGCAAGGAGCAGAUUCUUGGCAUCGGGGCUGUGCAGUUCAGCUAGAGAACUGCAAAUGGACCUGACGCCAUAGCCACCAGAGGGCAGCAGAGUCAAGGCUUUGGUGCAGCUGGACUGAGUUGGACUGAGACUCCUCUUCUUGGGUAGACUGCCAGGGUGACCCAGGGGACCGCAGUGCAGGCCCCACCUGUGAUCUUGGCAAGCUCCCAUCCCUGGGCCUCCUGAGGUUCAGCUUCCCCUUUGUAUCAGAUGGGAAGACUGAGAUCCUGAAACCUAGACAGAUAGCUGACAGUCACGAUGUCCUCGGUGUCAGAGGCAGGAUCUGAACCCAGUCCAGAGGGUUAACUGCUUUCCCAAUCUACAGGCCAAGAAGACACAGAGAGCCGGGGACAGAAACGGAUUGAUGGUUGGGACGGGGGCCUUGCUGACGGUAUGGGACGCCAAGAGUCUGCCAUGCGAGUGGCUUGGACUGGUGUUUGCCAUGAAGAGGCAGGCGUUUCUCCACACACAAGCAAAGCCCAGGAGGCAGGGUGGCAGAGGCCUGGCCUCUCCCUGUGACAAGCUGCUUCAAGGAGGGGGAUGUGAAGAGCAGUCUCCCCAGCACCAGGGGCUCCAGGCAAGAUUCCUCAGAGGUAACCCACGUGGAGAAGAAUCCAGCCCACUCCCUUCUGCUCCAUUCGGAAACUGUUCCCAGAGCCUCAGCCCCUCUCCUGGGAUUGGGUUCCUCGGUGACUGAGCCAGCAGGCUCCAAAGCUGAAGCUGGAACCAUCAUGGACUCCAUCCGAUUGUGGACCUGCCUCACAGGUGUUUGCUAACCUCAUUCUGUACCAGACAUGCUGGAAAGAAAUACAUUUUAAAACCACGUGCAAU